This is a non-coding RNA of Pelobates cultripes (western spadefoot toad), 261 nucleotides long. The record is from the annotation of a GenBank genome assembly. Lineage: Eukaryota; Metazoa; Chordata; Amphibia; Anura; Pelobatidae.
UGUCGACAUUAUAGUUGCGCAGGCACUUUGGAGACUCUAGAGAACCUCGGGCCAAUCGCACGUCCCUGUGAUGGCGACGACGCAUUCGGAUGUCUGCCCUAUCAAAUUUCGAUGGACUUUCUGCGCCUACCAUGGUGACCACGGGUAAUGGGGAAUCAGGGUUCGAUUCCGUAGAGGGAUCCUAAGAAACGGCUACCACAUCCAAGGAAGUCUGCAGGCGUGCAAAUUACCCACUUCCUACGCGGGGAGGUAGUGACGACA